UGAGUUAAAAGUUCUUAAAGGGCCGCGGUACUUUGACCGUGCGAAGGUAGCAUAAUCAUUAGUCUUUUAAUUGAAGGCUAGAAUGAACGGUUGGACAAAAAAUAAGCUGUCUCAGUUAAAAUUCUUGAAUUUAACCUUUAAGUGAAAAGGCUUAAAUAAAUCGGGGGGACGAUAAGACCCUAUAAAGCUUUACAAACCCUUUUUUUUAGUUAAAAAUUAUAAGUGUAAACUAACUUAAAAAUUAUUUGUUUCGUUGGGGCGACGAGAAUAUAAUUUAGUAAUUGUUCUUUUAAAAUAUUACAGUAUUAGUUGAUUGAAAAUUGAUCCCUUAAUAAGGAUUAAAAGUUUAAGUUACUUUAGGGAUAACAGCGUAAUCUUUUUUGAGAGUCCAUAUCGACAAAAAGGGUUGCGACCUCGAUGUUGAAUU
This 427-nucleotide ribosomal RNA is filed under the name Sicyonia lancifer. RNAcentral's name for it is "partial 16S ribosomal RNA". It matches the Rfam family "Bacterial large subunit ribosomal RNA", at positions 1909 to 2538 of the family's 2925-position model. The record is from RNAcentral. Lineage: Eukaryota; Metazoa; Arthropoda; Malacostraca; Decapoda; Sicyoniidae.